UCAUCUGUCAACAUUUUUUAAUGUUUGUAGACUUUAAACAUGUUUGAUUUUGGAGAUACGUUGGCUCUUAUAUUGGGCCUUACAAUAAGCCUAAUUGGAAUAUUGGCCUGUUUGGGAUCGUAUGCCAGAAAACAUGCUGUUACAGAACGAUUGUGAUGGAUUUUAUCAUCAACUGAUGAGAAUGGUGCAACUUAUUACUUUAUAAAGAUAUUUUAUAAUAAACAUAUUAAUUUUUUG
Long non-coding RNA from Photinus pyralis (common eastern firefly), 237 nucleotides. RefSeq lists it as uncharacterized. The record is from RefSeq and is a predicted model, not a curated record. The transcript has 2 exons. NCBI's taxonomy places the organism in Eukaryota, Metazoa, Arthropoda, Insecta, Coleoptera, Lampyridae.